UACGUAGGUGGCGAGCGUUGUCCGGAUUUACUGGGCGUAAAGAGCGCGCAGGCGGUCAAGUAAGUCGAAUGUGAAAGCCCCCGGCUCAACUGGGGAGGGUCAUUCGAUACUGCUCGACUCGAAGGCAGGAGAGGGAAGUGGAAUUCCCGGUGUAGUGGUGAAAUGCGUAGAGAUCCGGAGGAACACCUGUGGCGAAGGCGGCCCCCUGGGCCGGGCCUGACGCUGAGACGCGAAAGCGCGGGGAGCGAACGGG
This 253-nucleotide ribosomal RNA is filed under the name uncultured bacterium. RNAcentral describes it as "partial 16S ribosomal RNA". It matches the Rfam family "Bacterial small subunit ribosomal RNA", at positions 524 to 776 of the family's 1533-position model. The record is from RNAcentral.